This 256-nucleotide ribosomal RNA is filed under the name uncultured bacterium. RNAcentral describes it as "partial 16S ribosomal RNA". It matches the Rfam family "Bacterial small subunit ribosomal RNA", at positions 524 to 776 of the family's 1533-position model. The record is from RNAcentral.
UACGUAGGGUGCGAGCGUUUGUCCGGAAUUACUGGGCGUAAAGAGCUCGUAGGUGGUUUGUCGCGUUGUCCGUGAAAACUCACAACUCAAUUGUGGGCGUGCGGGCGAUACGGGCAGACUGGAGUACUGCAGGGGGAGACUGGAAUUCCUGGUGUAGCGGUGGAAUGCGCAGAUAUCAGGAGGAACACCGGUGGCGAAGGCGGGUCUCUGGGCAGUAACUGACGCUGAGGAGCGAAAGCGUGGGGGAGCGAACAGG